ACUAGUGUAAAUACUUUAAAUUAAAGAUCAAAUUUAUUUAUUACAUUCUUAUAGGGUCGAGGAGUGUAUCUGUAAAGAAUCAUCAAAAUCGGAGCUAAAAUAACCGUUAAAUUGUGAUUUUUCGUUUAUAACCGUUGAUAACUUUUGUUCCGUUACGUAAUCUCUGAAUGUUUGUUUUUUACGAUUUUUUAUGUAUGCAAUCUUGGAAUGCGUACAAAUAAGUUUGACGGUUGGAUCGUUAAAAAACGUUUUGUAGAAUGCAUAUUGUGUCAAAAUAGUAGAUUAAACAAACACUUAAAGUUAAUAUUAUACUUCUAUUAAGUAUAAAAAAAGAUUUUGUGGUAUCCACUAGUGUAAAUACUUUAAAUUAAAGAUCAAAUUUAUUCAUUACAUUCUUAUAGGGUCGAGGAGUGUAUCUGUGAAAAAUCAUCAAAAUCGGAGCUAAAAUAACCGUUAAAUUGUGAUUUUUCGUUUAUAAUCGUCGAAAACUUUUGUUCCGUUACGUAAUAUCUGAAUGUUUGUUUUUUAAAAUUUUUUACGUAUGCGAUCUCGGAAUGUGUACAAAUAAGUUUGACAGUUGGAUCGUUGAAAAAAGUUUCGUAAAAUGCAUAUUGCGUCAAAACAGUAAAUUAAACAAACACUUAGAGUUAAUAUUAUACUUCUAUCAAGUAUAAAAUAAGUUUUUGUGGUAUCCACUAGUGUAAAUAGUUUAAAUUAAAGAUCAAAUUUAUUCAUUACAUUCUUAUAGGGUCGAGGAGUGUAUCUGUAAAAAAUCAUCAAAAUUGGAGCUAAAAUAACCGUUAAAUUGUGAUUUUUCAUUUAUAACCGUCGAAAACUUUUGUUCCGUCACGUAAUCUCUGAAUCUUUAUUUUUUAUGAUUUUUUACGUAUGCAAUCUCGGAAUGUGUACAAAUAAUUUUGACGGUUGGAUUGUUGAAAAACGUUUCGUAGAAUGCUUUUUGCGUCAAAACGGUAGAUUAAACAAACACUUAAGAGUUAAUAUUAUACUUCUAUUAAGUAUAAAAUAAGUUUUUGUGGUAUCCACUAGUGUAAAUACUUUAAAUUAAAGAUCAAAUUUAUUCAUUACAUUCAUAUAGGGUCGAGGAGUGUAUCUGUAAAAAAUCAUCAAAAUCGGAGCUAAAAUAACCGUUAAAUUGUGAUUUUUUGUUUAUAACUGUUGAUAACUUUUGUUCUGUUACGUAAUCUCUGAAUGUUUGUUUUUUACGAUUUUUUACGUAUGAAAUCUUGGAAUGUGUACAAAUAAGUUUGACGGUUGGAUCGUUAAAAAAAGUUUCGUAGAAUGCGUCAAAAUAGUAGAUUAAACAAACACUUAAAGUUAAUAUUAUACUUCUAUUAAGUAUGAAAAAAGAUUUUGUGGUAUCCAUUAGUGUAAAUACUUUAAAUUAAAGAUCAAAUUUAUUCAUUACAUUCUUAUAGGGUCGAGGAGUGUAUCUGUAAAAAAUCAUCAAAAUCGGAGCUAAAAUAACCGUUAAAUUGUGAUUUUUCGUUUAUAACCAUCGAAAACUUUUGUUUCGUUACGUAAUCUCUGAAUGUUUGUUUUUUACGAUUUUUUAUGUAUACGAUCUCAGAAUGUGUACAAAUAAGUUUGACGGUUGGAUUGUUGAAAAAAGUUUCGUAGAAUGCAUAUUGCGUCAAAACAGUAAAUUAAACAAACACUUAGAGUUAAUAUUAUACUUCUAUUAAGUAUAAAAUAAGUUUUUGUGGUAUCUACUAGUGUAAAUACUUUAAAUUAAAGAUCAAAUUUAUUCAUUACAUUCUUAUAGGGUCGAGGAGUGUAUAUGUACAAAAUCAUCAAAAUCGGAGCUAAAAUAACCGUUAAAUUGUGAUUUUUCGUUUAUAACCGUCGAAAACUUUUGUUCCGUUACGUAAUCUCUGAAUGUUUGUUUUUUACGAUUUUUUAUGUAUGCGAUCUCGGAAUGUGUACAAAUAAGUUUGACGGUUGGAUCGUUGAAAAAAGUUUCGUGGAAUGCAUAUUGCGUCAAAAUAGUAGAUUAAACAAACACUUAGAGUUAAUAUUAUACUUCUAUUAAGUAUAAAAAAAGAUUUUGUGGUAUCUACUAGUGUAAAUACUUUAAAUUAAAGAUCAAAUUUAUUCAUUACAUUCUUAUAGGGUCGAUGAGUGUAUCUAUAAAAAAUCAUCAAAAUCGGAGCUAAAAUAACCGUUAAAUUGUGAUUUUUCGUUUAUAACCGUCGAAAACUUUUGUUCCGUUACGUAAUCUCUGAAUGUUUGUUUUUUACGAUUUUUUAUGUAUGGGAUCUCGGAAUGUGUACAAAUAAGUUUGAUGGUUGGAUCGUUGAAAAAUGUUUCGUAGAAUGCAUAUUGCGUCAAAACAAUAGAUUAAACAAACACUUAAAGUUAAUAUUAUACUUCUAUUAAGUAUAAAAUAAGUUUUUGUGGUAUCUACUAGUGUAAAUACUUUAAAUUAAAGAUCAAAUUUAUUCAUUACAUUCUUAUAGGGUCGAAGAGUGUAUCUGUAAAAAAAUCAUCAAAAUCGGAGCUAAAAUAACAGCUAAAUUGUGAUUUUUCGUUUAUAACCGUCGAUAACUUUUGUUCUGUUACGUAAUAUUUGAAUGUUUGUUUUUUUUACAAUUUUUUACGUAUGCAAUCUUGGAAUGUGUACAAAUAAGUUUGACGGUUGGAUCGUUGAAAAAAGCUUGUCAUUACGAGUGUUUAUAUAUUUUUUCUAUAUUUUUUACACUUCUACAUUAAUUAAAAAACUAUUAAAGACUUUAGGUAAGCGAAAAUAUACUUAAAACAAAAUU
Molecule: long non-coding RNA, 2783 nt
Filed under: Malus domestica (apple)
Lineage: Eukaryota; Viridiplantae; Streptophyta; Magnoliopsida; Rosales; Rosaceae
Description: long non-coding RNA (MDOM_LNC010589)
Source: RNAcentral